GACUUGGUGGCGCAACGGUAGCGCGUCAGAUUCCAAAGCAAGGCGGUAUUACAACCUGUCUUCUGGACCAUCUGUAGGUUGCAGGUUCGAAUCCUGUCCGGGUCG
This is a non-coding RNA of Saitozyma podzolica, 105 nucleotides long. The record is from the annotation of a GenBank genome assembly. NCBI's taxonomy places the organism in Eukaryota, Fungi, Basidiomycota, Tremellomycetes, Tremellales, Trimorphomycetaceae.